RNAcentral lists this ribosomal RNA (379 nucleotides) under uncultured eukaryote. RNAcentral's name for it is "partial 18S ribosomal RNA". It matches the Rfam family "Eukaryotic small subunit ribosomal RNA", at positions 592 to 976 of the family's 1831-position model. The record is from RNAcentral.
CAAUAGCGUAUAUUUAAGUUGUUGCAGUUAAAAAGCUCGUAGUUGGAUUUCGGAUGGGAUUUGCCGGUCCGUCGUUACGAUGUGCACUGGCCAGUCCUAUCUUGUUGUCGGGGACUAGCUCCUUGGAUUCACUUCCUGGGACUAGGAGCUGACGAGGUUACUUUGAGUAAAUUAGAGUGUUCAAAGCAAGCCUACGCUCUGAAUACAUUAGCAUGGAAUAACACGAUAGGACUCUGGCUUAUCUUGUUGGUCUGUGAGACCAGAGUAAUGAUUAAGAGGGACAGUCGGGGGCAUCCGUAUUUCAUUGUCAGAGGUGAAAUUCUUGGAUUUAUGAAAGACGAACUUCUGCGAAAGCAUUUGCCAAGGAUGUUUUCAUUAA